This 204-nucleotide long non-coding RNA is filed under the name Lathyrus oleraceus (garden pea). Its description in RNAcentral is "Pisum sativum (pea) long non-coding RNA (PSAT_LNC018675)". The record is from RNAcentral. Lineage: Eukaryota; Viridiplantae; Streptophyta; Magnoliopsida; Fabales; Fabaceae.
CAAUGUGGGUUGAAAGCAGAGGCACAUUGGUUUAGCAGAGAGGGAGAGGACGACGAGGUUUGAAAGCGGAGGGGCGAUAGUUAGGCGAAGAGUUUGAGGUUACGGAUGUUGUGCGUAUGAAGAAGAGAAGACGGUGGGUUAUUGAGAGGAGGGGAGACUAUGAAUAGUCUCUUUUUUUUUAUGAAGAAGAAAAUUCUCUUUUUU